This 446-nucleotide ribosomal RNA is filed under the name Bacillus sp. enrichment culture clone A1f. RNAcentral describes it as "partial 16S ribosomal RNA". It matches the Rfam family "Bacterial small subunit ribosomal RNA", at positions 116 to 541 of the family's 1533-position model. The record is from RNAcentral. Lineage: Bacteria; Bacillati; Bacillota; Bacilli; Caryophanales; Bacillaceae.
CGUGGCACCUGCCUGNAAACUGGAANACUUCGGGAAACCAAGCUAANCCGGAANGGAUCUUCUCCUUCUGGGAAAAUNAUUGAANAUGGUUUCGGCNAUNACUNACNANUGGGCCCGCGGUGNAUNAGCUAGUUGGUGAGGUAACGGCUCACCAGGCAACGAAUGCAUAGCCGACCUGAGAGGGUGAUCGGCCACACUGGGACUGAGACACGGCCAGAACUCCUACGGGAGGCAGCAGUAGGGAAUCUUCGGCAAUGGACGAAAGUCUGACGGAGCAACGCCGCGUGAGUGAUGAAGGCUUUCGGGUCGUAAAACUCUGUUGUUAGGGAGGAACAAGUACGAGAGUAACUGCUCGUACCUNGACGGUACCUACCCAGAAAGCCACGGCUAACUACGUGCCAGCAGCCGCGGUAAUACGUAGGUGGCAAGCGUAUCGAUAUUUGGGG